Non-coding RNA from Gasterosteus aculeatus aculeatus (three-spined stickleback), 1392 nucleotides. The record is from RefSeq and is a predicted model, not a curated record. NCBI's taxonomy places the organism in Eukaryota, Metazoa, Chordata, Actinopteri, Perciformes, Gasterosteidae.
CGGGCUGUUGGAGGGGGGGGGUUAGCACGUAGCUGGUUAGCACUGAGAGCUAGCAGGCGGUCAGACACAGACUCACCUUUCUUCUGGUUCACGUCGAUGUCCAGCAGGCGGUGAAAGGUUUGGUUUACUGAGGAAGAGGAAGAGGAAGAGGAGGGGUGAUCUUCUACCUGUGUGUGUCUGUCUAUGUGUCGCUGUGUGCGCUUGUGUUACGUUUGCCGCAGUGCUCCUCGUCGGCUCCGUCUCUGCACUGCGUCACCUCGUCACAUUCUAGACUUCUGUCCAAGCAGCAGCCAGAGUCACAGGUGAGCUGAGCAGGACCACAGGUAGACCCGCACUCUGCAACACACAGGUACACAUUAACCCCUGCCUUGUACUUGUGGUGCACAGCUGAUAUGAAGAGGUGCAUUGUGGGACUGACCAGCGACGGACACAGAGACGCUUCUCUCUGAAGGCGCUGAAAACACAUAAAACGUAAAGUAUUUAAACUGCUGUGUGUACUUUGAGUAUACUACAUGUGUACUCGGUGUGUACUGUGUGUACCUGAGACCCCUCUGCAGGCAGACACACACUCUUCCUCAGACAGGAAGUUGUUGCUGUUGGACUUACACCCUCCAAACAGGAAGGGCUUACAGGCGCUGGUCGUGGCGUUGUAGCUCCAGCGAGGAAACGCAGCGCGACACGGACCGACCUUCAGCGGGGACAGACAGAAGGCUGGACAGCGGACAGGAGGACACGAAUGGACUACAUUUCCCACUCACUCCUGGAGCGCUCCGGGUCGAGGACGACCACGGAGACGUUGGCGGCUCGGGAACGCUGGUCGUUGGAGUCGAUGACGGUCAGCUGGAAGACGAAAGAACCCGACUGCAGGUUGGAGAGUCUCACCUGGUCAGACUCCACUGGUACCUGGAGAUGUGGGCGUCGCCAAUCGGCAGGCUCUGGAUGCCACUGAGGGUCACCACCUCGCCAGGCUGAAUGAUGACAUCACGGGGCGCUAUGGCGAUGGGCAGAGCGUCGUCACCUGUGGAUAGUUAAGUGAUGUCACAGACCUGAGGACAGUUAAGUGAUGUCACAGACCUGAGGACAGUUAAGUGAUGUCACAGACCUGAGGACAGUUAAGUGAUGUCACAGACCUGAGGACAGUUAAGUGAUGUCACAGACCUGAGGACAGUUAAGUGAUGUCACAGACCUGAGGACAGUUGACAAUGAUUCUCUUCUACAGGUAGUUCCUCAUCUAAUACCUAAUAAUAAUAAUAACAAUAAUGUAUCCUAUAUUUCUCAAUGAUGACAGUGUAUUGAUCCCGUUGUUGAUUGAUUGAUCCUAUAGUACCAAAUGAUCUUCUUGGAUUUAUCACAUUAAAGUAUUGAUCCUGUAAUAUUUGUUAGCAUCUUGAA